AGUAACGCGUGAGGAACCUGCCUUUCAGAGGGGGACAACAGUUGGAAACGACUGCUAAUACCGCAUGACACAUGAAUGGGGCAUCCCAUUGAUGUCAAAGAUUUAUCGCUGAAAGAUGGCCUCGCGUCCCAUUAGCUAGUAGGCGGGGUAACGGCCCACCUAGGCGACGAUGGGUAGCCGGACUGAGAGGUUGACCGGCCACAUUGGGACUGAGAUACGGCCCAG
This 225-nucleotide ribosomal RNA is filed under the name uncultured bacterium. Its description in RNAcentral is "partial 16S ribosomal RNA". It matches the Rfam family "Bacterial small subunit ribosomal RNA", at positions 109 to 334 of the family's 1533-position model. The record is from RNAcentral.